This 73-nucleotide transfer RNA is filed under the name Amborella trichopoda. It matches the Rfam family "tRNA". From Rfam's summary of the family: Transfer RNA (tRNA) molecules are approximately 80 nucleotides in length. Their secondary structure includes four short double-helical elements and three loops (D, anti-codon, and T loops). The record is from Rfam by way of RNAcentral. Lineage: Eukaryota; Viridiplantae; Streptophyta; Magnoliopsida; Amborellales; Amborellaceae.
ACCUACUUAACCCAGUGGUUAGAGUAGUGCUUUCAUAUAGCUGGAGUCAUUGGUUCAAAUCCAAUAGUAGGCA